This 379-nucleotide long non-coding RNA is filed under the name Cavia porcellus (domestic guinea pig). RNAcentral describes it as "lncRNA (ENSCPOG00000033247.1)". The record is from RNAcentral. Lineage: Eukaryota; Metazoa; Chordata; Mammalia; Rodentia; Caviidae.
CUCCACUUGGCGAACACGGACCAGUUGUUUACUUCAUGAGCAGUGGGAAUGCCAGGACAAGGCACAAAAUCCCAAAUAAUCACUGACUCUAGCAGCUGUGAGGAUCUAGAAGGGCUAUUCGGGCUCUUUGUCUUUGAAAAUGAGGAAACUAAGACUGCAAUUCCGGAUGCAGUUAGUCAAGUCACGGAAGCUUCAUUAUCCCCUCCCUCAACUGACAAGAUGGGGACAGAACUGCUUCUCCAGGCUGUUGUGAGAGAGAAAUCAGGUCAUGGUGAACAGCAGCUAGUUUAUACUUGAGUCACGGCGACCAAUUACAACACAGGUUAGUUCUCCGCUAUUGCUACCAAAUCUUGCUACUAUUAAUAUCUAGUGUUAGCAG